GAUGAAGAACGUAGCUAAAUGCGAUACGUAAUGUGAAUUGCAGAAUUCAGUGAAUCAUCGAAUCUUUGAACGCAUAUUGCGCUCUCUGGUAUUCCGGAGAGCAUGCUUGUUUGAGUAUCAGUAAACACCUCAACUUCCAUAUCUUUUUUGAAAUGGGAGUUGGACUUGAGUGAUCCCAACGCUUUUCCUCACCGAAAAGUGGCGGGUUACUUGAAAUGCAGGUGCAGCUGGACUUUUCUCUGAGCUAUAAGCAUAUCUAUUUAGUCUGCCUAAAAAACAGAUUAUUACCUUUGCUGCAGCUAACAUAAAGGAGAUUAGUUCUUGUGCUGACUGAUGCAGGAUUCACAAAGACGGCUUCGGCCGACUUUGUAAACUCGAUCUCAAAUCAAGUAAGACUACCCGCUGAACUUAAGCAUAUCAAUAAGCGGAGGA
RNAcentral lists this unclassified non-coding RNA (432 nucleotides) under soil metagenome. RNAcentral describes it as "partial contains 5.8S ribosomal RNA, internal transcribed spacer 2, and large subunit ribosomal RNA". The stretch from base 1 to 120 matches the Rfam family "5.8S ribosomal RNA", at positions 35 to 154 of the family's 154-position model. The record is from RNAcentral.